Non-coding RNA from Acomys russatus (golden spiny mouse), 486 nucleotides. Lineage: Eukaryota; Metazoa; Chordata; Mammalia; Rodentia; Muridae. The record is from the annotation of a RefSeq genome assembly.
ACCCACUACCUUCAAAAGGCCUAAAAGAGAAUAAAAGGCCUGAGGAAAACAAGUAUGCUGGAUUUCUGAGAACUGAACUCUGUGGCAUCUCCACCAUGGCCUGGCCCUUCCUCCUGCUCACCAUUCUCUCUCUCUGCACAGGUUCCACGGCCUCCUAUAUACUGACUCAACCUCCCUCAGUAUCAGUGGCCCUUGGUCAAAAGGCAACAAUCACCUGCUCUGGAGAUAAACUCUCAGAUAAGUAUGUUCACUGGUACCAGCAGAAGCCAGGCCAGGCCCCUGUGCUGGUCAUAUACAGAGAUAGUAAUCAGGCCUCUGGCAUCUCAGACAACUUCUCUGGAUCCAACUCAGGGAACAAGGCCAUCCUGACCAUCAGCAAAGUCCAGGAUGAAGAUGAGGCUGACUAUUACUGUCAGUGUUGGCAUAGCACUGAUAGUGCUCACAAUAACACAGGCAGAUGAGGAACUAAGACACAAACCCUUUCUU